Molecule: long non-coding RNA, 287 nt
Filed under: Capra hircus (goat)
Lineage: Eukaryota; Metazoa; Chordata; Mammalia; Artiodactyla; Bovidae
Description: lncRNA (ENSCHIG00000006188.1)
Source: RNAcentral
CGACAGGGAGAGAGAUGUGCAGUGAGCACGUGUACGCCUCUCCCACGGUGGGGGAGCUGGCGCGGCAGCCGAGCUCGGGGGCGGCUCUGAGCCUCAGUUUCCCCAGCUGUAAAAUGGAUCGGCUGUGGUUUCACCACCCCCCACCCCACCCUGCAGAGUUUCUGCCAGCCCCAAAGUCUAUGAGGGUCCAGACCAGACUAGGGGACACGGCUCCAACUGGACACUGGCAGAAAAGAUGUCCCAGUCCUGCAACCUGGACCUUCCUCCAUUCAUCAGGCCUGCACUGA